This is an RNA transcript of Lathyrus oleraceus (garden pea), 3380 nucleotides long. RefSeq lists it as uncharacterized. NCBI's taxonomy places the organism in Eukaryota, Viridiplantae, Streptophyta, Magnoliopsida, Fabales, Fabaceae. The transcript has 4 exons. The record is from RefSeq and is a predicted model, not a curated record.
CAUAUAAAUAACUGAAUGGGAUCAGUUUAGUGAAGUGUAUCAUUUCUUUUCUCUUUGAUCAACAAAUCCCCUUUCUUGCUAAGUAAUUUUCUAUCCAGAGAGAGACCUAACUAGCAAUGUCAAGUGAAGCUGAUGACGAAGCUAGCACGCCGGAGAAGAUGGAUAAGGGAAAGGGUAUUCUUGACGAAAUCCCCGAACAGACUGAAAUUGCAACUGAUGAUGAAACUAAUGAUGAAACUGUUGAAGAAGCUAGCACCUCGAUCAAGGUGAAUAUGGAAAGGAGUAAACUUAACGAAAUAUGUGCCGCUGUUAACACAAUCCCGACACAGACUGAACUUGAAGCUGAGGAGAUAAUUAGCAACUUGCUGAUGAUGGAUACGGGAGAUGGAAGACUGAUAGCAGAUCUCGAUAGAAAGAAUCAUUACUUAGUUAAGGACAUGAAAAAGGUUGAUAAAGAAGGGAAGUCACCAUCACUGAGUGAUGUAUUCCUCUGGCUUACCCGUAUCCUCUUUAGUCAAAUAAUUGAUGUUUACGUUAAAGAUGGUUCUGUAUACUCUGGACUCUUCUACUCUAUUCUUGAGAAUGGUACUAUUUUGAGGAAAGCAAAGAUAACAGAGAAGGGAACGGGCCAUAGCAAUGUUGAAGAUAAGGUAGUGGAUACACUAAACGUUUCAUCAGAGAAUCUUGAGAAAAUUGUUUCUAAGAGAGUAACGAUUACCGUGGAUGAUGGUGUUGAUUGGAAUAUAACUGUUGCACAAGGUGAUUCUUCCGAUGGGGUGCAGAAGAAUGAACAAGAGGAGCAGUCGCCACCAGACUCUAGUGGUCAGGAGGAUGAACAAGAGGAAGAGAAUCUCCCAUAUCCUCGUCGCCGCCGAGGGCCGCGGAUGGUCCACUUUUGUGGCCAAGUGCGGGAGAUUGUCCCAUAUAGUGAAUAUAUGGAGAUGAUUAACCCAUCUAGUGGUCAAUCGCAGCAGACUAUCCCAUCUAGUGGCCAAUCACAGCAGAUUAUCCCAUAUAGUGGCCAAGGACAGCAGAUUAUCCCAUAUAGUGGCCAAGGACAGUCGAAUUACCCAUACAGUCCAUUUUUUGGCCCUCAGCAGCAACAUCCUCAUGAGCAAUUUUGGACAUACAACCCUGAUGGUUCUUCUCCUCCAGUAUUGCCCUUACCUCAUGCAGCUACCACUAGUCUUCAUUGUGGUCCUUCUCUUGGCUCCCAGAAUCCUCAUCAUCUAGGUUAUGAUUCAUAUGGUCACGCUCCCAUGUUUUCAGGAUACUUUCGUCCACCAGGCCCAGAUACUAGUGACCCGUAUCUAGAAUCCGCUCCUUCUGGUAAUGUUCCCAUGUUUCCAGGACAUUUUCGUUUACCACGCCCUCCCAUGUUUCAUGGAGACUUUCGUCCACCAGGCCUAGAUACUAGUGAGCCGCAUCUAGGAUCUACUCCUUCUGGUCACACUCCCAUAUUUCCAGGACAAUUUCGUCCACCAGGCCCUCCCAUAUUUCCAGAAUACUUUCGUCCACCGGGCCCAUAUACUAGUGACCCGCAUCUAGGAUCUGCUCUUUUUGAUCACGCUCCCAUGUUUCCAGGAGACUUUCGUCCACCGGGCCAUCCCAUGUUUUCAAGAUACUUUCGUCCACCAGACCCAGAUACUAGUGACCCGCAUCUAGGAUCUGCUCUUUCUGGUCACACUCCCAUGUUUCCAGGACACUUUCGUCCACCAGGCUCUCCCAUGUUUCUAAGACACUUUCGUCCACCAGGCUCUCCCAUGUUUCCAGGACACUUUCGUCCACCAGACUCUCCCAUGUUUCCAGGAUACUUUCGUCCACCAGGCUCAGAUACUAGUGAGCAGCAUCUAGGAAUUACUCCUUUUGGUCACACUCCCAUGUUUCCAGAACACUUUCGUCCACCAAACCCUUUCAUGUUUCCAGAAUGCUUUCGUCCACCAGACCUGGAUACUAGUGAGCAGCAUCUAGGAUCUACUCCUUCUGGUCACGCUCACAUGUUUCCAGAACACUUUCGUCCACCAGGCCCUUUCAUGUUUCCGAGAUACUUUCGUCCACCAGGCCCAGAUACUAUUGAGCAGCAUCUAGGAUCUGCUCCUUCUGGUCACGCUCCCAUGUUUCCAGGACACUUUCGUCCACCAGGUCCUCCCAUGUUUCAAAGAUACUUUCGUCCACUCGGCCCAGAUGAUAGUGAGCAGCAUCUGGGGUCUGCUCCUUCUGGUCAUGCUCCCAUGUUUCCAGGACACUUUCGUCCACCAGGCCCUUCCAUGUUUCCAGGACACUUUCGUCCACUAGGCCCUCCCAUGUUGCGAGGAUACUUUCGUCCACCAAACCCUCCCAUGUUUCCAGGAUACUUUCGUCCAACAGGCCCAGAUACUAGUGAGCAGCAUCUUGGAUCUGCUCCUUCUGGUCAUGCUCCCUUGUUUCCAAGAUACUUUCGUCCACCAGACUCUCCUAUGUUUCCAGGAUUCAUUCGUCCACCAGGCCCAGAUACUAGUGAGCAGCAUCUAGGAACUCCCAUGUUUCCAGGAGACUUUCGUCCACCAGACCCAGAUACUAGUGAGCAGCAGCAUCUAGGAUCUACUCCUUCUGAUCACGCUACCAUGUUUCCAGAAGACUUUUUUCCACCAAACCUAGAUAUUAGUGAGCAGCAUCUAGGAUCUACUCCUUCUGAUCACUCUACCAUGUUUCCAGAAGACUUUCUUCCACCAAACCUAGAUAUUAUUGAGCAGCAUCUAGGAUCUACUCCUUCUGAUCACACUACCAUGUUUCCAGAAGACUUUCUUCCACCAAACCUAGAUAUUAUUGAGCAGCAUCUAGGAUCUACUCCUUCUGAUCAUGCUACCAUGUUUCCAGAAGACUUUCUUCCACCAAACCUAGAUAUUAUUGAGCAGCAUCUAGGAUCUACUCUUUCCGGUCACGCUCCCGUGUCUCCAGGAGACUCUCAUCCACCAAGCCCAGACACUAAUGACCAACAGUGAAGCACAGAUACUUCUAAAAUAGUGAAGUACACGACACCGAUACGUCUACCAUACUUCAGGAACAUUUUUCAUCCAGCAACUUGAAUAUAUGCAUUCCUCAGCCAGAUGGAUCGUGCUCAAGUGAUAUGUUGGAGAGACUCAAGGCCAAGGGCGAUUGGAUGAGAAGGUUUAGAGGAUGAUUGAUCAUUUGUUAGAUAUAUUGUUUUUCCUAGAAACAUUACAUGGUCUUGGUGAUCUUAAGGUGUACUAAUUUGAUUGAUUCAUAUUUCUUUGACACAUAUUAAUCCUUUUGUGAGAAUGGAUGAAAAGUAAAAUAGCUUAAAAUAAAAUGAUAGGAUAAGACAUUGGAAAGUUUUUGAAUUGGUGUCAUUGAUAUGAGUGUGUUGUCUUUCUUAUAGG